Molecule: long non-coding RNA, 1251 nt
Filed under: Homo sapiens (human)
Lineage: Eukaryota; Metazoa; Chordata; Mammalia; Primates; Hominidae
Description: non-protein coding lnc-RGS9-15:4
Source: RNAcentral
GAUGUCCCGGCCUUUCCUUGAACCAGUAGACCCUAAUGAUGCACCAGAUUAUUAUGGUGUUAUUAAGGAACCUAUGGAUUGACCUUUGUAAAGAAGAAAAACAUGUUAGAAGAAAAAUGGAAAAGAACUCUGCAUGCCCUCAGCUCAGAUGCCAUCUCCUCUGGGAGCUCCUCUGGCCCCUGCCAAGGCUGGAUCAGAUGCCCUCAGGGCACACACGAUGCUGAUCCAGGGCCAUCUGUGGCCCAGACUCUGGGUCCCUCAUGCAGCCCUCACCACUGCUCAGGAGGCCACAGGAACAGAGGAAUCACUGGCCCAUUUUACAGACGGGAAAGCUGGACCCGGAGAAGUGAAGCAACUUUCCUGACUCACAGUGGAGGCAGCCUUCCAAGUUUUCUACCCCCGACUACACAGUGGAGCUGAAGAGCACCACUCUCUGCUGGGCCCCUAAAACAAAUCCAGUAAGAAGAACGUGCUGGAGGCUGCUUCCAGCAGAUCGGCUUCUUUGUACGACCCAAGCUCUGUGCCUUCUCUGGCCUCUAUUACUGUGACAUCUGCCACCAAGAUGAUGCCUCAGUGAUUCUGGCCAGGAUCAUCCACAGCUGGGACCUCACCAAGCACCUGGUUUGUUGGUGGACCAAAGUAAGAUCUACAGCAGGGCCUUCUACUCCUGCGCAGCUGGCAUGGCCCUGGCUGCUGUGUGCCUCGCCCUGGUGAGACCGUGUAAGAUGGGACUGUGCCAGCAUCAUCACUCAGGUGAAACAAAGGUAGUGAGCCAUCGUGGGAAGACUUUACAGGACAUACCUGAAGACUUUCUGGAAAUGGAUCUUGCAAAAAAUGAGCACAGAGUUCACGUGCAAAUGGAGCCGGUAUGACACACUUUCUUACAACAACAGCCACUGUGUUGGCUGGAGAGGGAUGGGGUGGGCCCAACGGAGACACAAGGAGGUAGAGGAGCUAACCCCUCUACUCCACUUUCAAAACUACAUUUUAAAGGGAAUGUGUAUGUGAAGAGCACUACCAACAUCGCUUUUGUUUUAAGUUUUCCUUUUUGCUUGUUUUUAAAGCCAAAACAAAAAACAACCAAGCACUCUUCCAUAUAUAAAUCUGGCUGUAUUCAGUAGCAAUACAAAAGAUAUGUAGAAAGACUCUUUGGUUCACAUUCCAAUAUUAAAAUAGUGACACGAACUGGCAAAGUGGUUUUAAAAGCUUUCACAUGGGAUAAAUGAUUUUCUUUCUUUCUUUUCUUUCUUC